AUUGAACGCUGGCGGCAGGCUUAACACAUGCAAGUCGAGCGAGCGGCGGACGGGUGAGUAAUGUCUGGGAAAUUGCCUGAUGGAGGGGGAUAAUUACUGGAAACGGUAGCUAAUACCGCAUACCAUCAGAUGUGCUCAGAUGGGAUUAGCUAGUAGGUGGGGUAAUGGCUCACCUAGGCGACGAUCCCUAGCUGGUCUGAGAGGAUGAACAACCAACCUGGAACGGAGACACGAUCCAGGCACCUACGGGAGGCAGCAGUGGAGCAUGUUGCACCAUGGGCGCAAGCCUGAUGCAGCCAUGCCGCGUGUGUGAAGAAGGCCUUCGAGUUGUAAGGCACUUUCAGCGGGGAAGCGUUACUCGCAGAAUAAGCACCUGCUAACUCCGUGCCAGCAGCCGCGGUAAUUC
Molecule: ribosomal RNA, 406 nt
Filed under: uncultured bacterium
Lineage: Bacteria
Description: partial 16S ribosomal RNA
Rfam family: Bacterial small subunit ribosomal RNA
Source: RNAcentral